Molecule: long non-coding RNA, 344 nt
Filed under: Homo sapiens (human)
Lineage: Eukaryota; Metazoa; Chordata; Mammalia; Primates; Hominidae
Description: non-protein coding lnc-LGALS9B-5:1
Source: RNAcentral
ACCUACCUGACUUACAUCAAGCUGUCAAUGGCAAUCAAGCGUAAUGAGAGCAUGGCCAAAGGUCUGCAGAGGGCUCUGCUGCAGCAGCAGCCAGAGGAUGACAGCAAGUGCUUCCCCCGGCCCCAGGACCUGAUCCGGCUUUAUGACAUCAUCUUACAGCUGACCCUUGAGGACCGGGAAGGUCUUCUGUGAAAAAUUCAACCUAAGAUCUACUCUUCAUGAAUUUUCUUGUUGCAUCUGUUGUACAGAAUCUGGUGGAAUUGCUCCAGCUUCCUGGUUUAGAGGAAGACAAAGCCUUCCAGAAAGAGAUAGGCCUCAAGAUUCUGGUGUUCAAAGCUUACAGG